AUAACUCCUUAGGGCCGUCCUUUUGGUCUGCUGGAGUUUCUUUUUGGCGCCAGUUUCCCUCAGACAACUAGACGCCUGACCUGGUCUGGUCCCCACCCUGGCUUCAUGGACAGUGACGGCAAAGCCCGUCGCGGUACAACACCUUGAUCCUCAAAUGGCUCAGGAAGAUCAACGGCUCCCAAACAGCCGCGCGCCUGUUGCCAUGACGACUGGGCGAGAGGCCGGAAGCGAGGCCUAGCGUGGGGUCGCCUUACGAUCUCUUGGUGGCCGCGCCGCGCCCAAACCAGGAAGAUUUGCCUGAUAACUAGGCAGCCGCUCAUGUUCAUCAUCUGACCUGAUGGGACCAAGCCAGCCAGCUUCUACAUGUGUUCAUCUAGCACCCAGUCUCCAACUGGAUGCCAUGAGUGACCCCAGGAACCUUCAGCCCCAGAACCAGCUGCAAUUUAAUAGGAAUGUUCCUACAAAUCCCAGCAACUUGGCAGUCCGGUACUCUUGCCCACAUGGAAUUAAAAUUGAAAAACUGAAACACUCAUACAAUGAAUUGAAUCAUGGUAAAGACUUGGAUUUUAAAGCUGGAAAUGAAUUAAGCAGUUCUGUCUCAUUUUCUGUCAUAUCAGAAGAGAGGCUUAGCUAUGCUGUCCACCUAGCCAAGAGAGAUGUAAAACGAAGACAAUUUGAAGAACACGUGAAAGAUCAUCUCAGAAGUCUGCCCCAUAGCUCUCACAAAGGUAUGCACACCAAGGUGGAAAGGAAGGACUCCAAGAGUCAGGAUGUCUGUCAUUGCAGCCACCAGCCGUCCAGAGUAAGCCUCUCCAGCUCGGGCGCUAAGGUGUAUGUGUACACAUCUCAGCCAGGACGAGCUGAUCUUACUGUGCCAAAUUCACCACCUACCCAUGAUCCAGGACUUCAGCCGCAACCCAGAAUAGAGGAGAACAAAAACCUGUGGGAACAGAAAGGCCUGCUAGAAGUUCAGCGACUCCAAAAGGAAUUGAGUGGUUGUAUCCGUAAGAUAGAAGCACUAACGAAAAAAGAUAGACUAGAAGAGGCUUUGGAUCCAGAUGAAGAGCAUCGAAUCCGAGUCAGGAGACAGGAGCAAGCCGUGCGCUGUGCCCGCAUGCUCUACGUUCUUCAGCAGCAGGUAAAAGAAAUCCAGGAAGAAUUGGAUAAAUUGAGUCCACAAAAAAUUAAACAUACUAAGAAGUCAUGGGCAGUGUCUAGGCUGGCAGCCGCUCAUCGAGCAGCCAUCCGGGCCUUGCAAGUGUUUGUCACUCAGUUUACUGACCGAGGGGAGCACCCAGUUCCUGCUCGGUGUAGGGAGCUGGGCAGCCUUAUUCGUCAGCUGUCGCUGUGUUCCGCCAAGCUGGAUGCUGAUCCUUCUGUGCCAGACGUGGUCAUAGACAUCUUGCAGCAAAUCGAGGCUUUGGAGUCUCUCCUGGAAAAGAAAUUGUCACCUAAAAAGGCAAAGAAAUGUUUCACAGAAAUUCGGAGCAGAUUUCCUGUUGGUAGCCAAAAGAUCUUAGAGAGAUGGCCAACUGUACUGCCCAAAAGUGAGAGGAGACCCUUGGUCACAAAGGAGACAUUCCCACAGGAAACCAGUCGACCUCCUGUGGCAAAGAGGCUUCUUGCAGGACUGGAACCCAGAGCAUCCCACAUGCUGAAACAAGUUUUCAGAGCUAGGCAUGGUGGCAUACACCUUUAAUCCUAGCACUCUAGAGACAGAGACGAGUUCCAGGACAGCCGGGGCCACACAGAGAAACUCUGCCUAGAAAAACAAACAAACAAACAAACAAACAAACAAACCAAGAUGUUUUAAAUCUGAGGCUGGAGAGAUGGCUCAGUGGUUAAGAGCACUGGCUGCUCUUCCAGAGAAUCUGGGUUUGGUUUCCAGUACCCACAUGGUAGCACAUAGCUAUCUAUAACUCCAGUUCCAGAAGAUCCAAGCUAUGUGUCAGCCUGAUGGGGAGCUUCAGAGGCUGGAGAGUGAACCCGAUGUGCUGGAUGCACAUCUUCUUCCAGAAGAAGCCCCUCGUAUAGAGGACAAUGGUACAGACUUCAAAGACGGAACAUUAACCCCAGCCAAACCACAGGCAGUGAGAAGGAAGGCUUUGACAGGGUCCAUGCCGAUUAGGAAGAAAGAUACUGUGGAGUCAGCCAGACCACAGCAGGGACUCCACAUAGCUGAAAGAAAUCGACCAAACCAACCUUACAGCAAAAGCAGGUUGCAGCAGACAACAGUGUCAUCCAGAUUAAAAAUGAACCGACAGCCUAUGAAAGACCAUAGGGCUCCUUGGAUACCUCCAAACCCCACAUCCCCACCAGCCUCUCCUAAAUGUGCUGCGUGGAUGAAGGUGAAGUACAGCCCCAGGGAUGCUGCAAAGGAGCAGUCCCUACAGCAAGAGGAUACCCACAAGGAAAGUCAGCUGAGAGGUGAUGCUGAGCAAGAAGCAGCCAGGCUUUCUUGGCCAGAUGCUGAGUCUUCCAAAAGACUGAAGGAACUAGAAGAAUUGGAAGCCAAAGAAAUGGAAAGAAAGCAAAAGCAGAGGCUCAAUUGGCUUGAGGCUGAGACUUCUAGAAGAACCAAAGAGUUGGAUGAACUGAAAGCUGAAGAGAUGGAUAGACUUCAAAAAUUAAGUGUCUCUGCCACCCAGUUAGCUGACAAGGUGGAGGAGGCAGUUCUGGAGCGGUUGAAGCCCCUCUUGAUCAAGGCCCAGAGAGUGAAUUCUUCGGUGGAAGCAAAUAGUCAUUUGAAGGAUCGUCCGUCACGGCACGCAGCAGCAGCAGCCCAGCCUGCCGAGCAGGCUUCAGAUGUACGUUUUGAAUCCAGGAAUAUUCCUCAGCUGCGUGACUGUUUGGAAGAUACUGCUCAUGAGCUCUGGGCUAGGACUCAGGAUAAGAUCUUGGGGUCAGAAACUUCAGCCAGAUUGGGGGACAGCAAGGACAGCCCAGAUCUAGAGACCAUGAUGCUCCGGAUGGAAGAAAUGGAAAAAUACCAGGAGACAGUUCGCCAAAGAUAUAAUAAAAUUGUAUACGCUGACCCUCACUUAUGGAUGCACGAAGAAAGAAAUGACCAGAACACCCCAGCUGUAAGUGAAGGACCUUUGGCUUCCCACCCAAUCAAGAUCACCAAGACAGCAACUCAAAAGUGCCCUGCUGUGAACAUCUUGUUAGAAAGGCCCUGCAAUGCCAACUCACUGGAUGAAAGUGUAACAACAGAGGAGGGAUCGGAGAAAAGGGAGGCUCCCCUGCCCCUCUCCAGAGAAGACCUGCAUCAGAGAAAAGGGCAAACUCCCCUCUCAGUCCCACCCAGGAUGCGGCACAGCAUUGGUGCUUACUGUAGCCGGUUUGAGCAAUUCCUACGGAUCAUAGCUCAUGAGGCUAUAGGCUCCUUCAACCCAUGGCUAAUAGCUGAAAGCUUUUCAGAUGAGCUGGUAGAUGAAGCACUGGGGGCCGUGGCUGCAGAACUGCAGGAUGUGUGUGAAGACUAUGCAGAAGCUGUGUUCACCUCAGAGUUCCUAGAGGCCGCUGCAUGAGAGCUGUCCAGGCAGGGCCCUCAGAUCACUGCCGGAGAGUCAGCGCCACCCGCUGUCAGCCCGUGGGGGAAUCUCUGUCCUCAGCUGCCCACUGAAGGAUGCCAGGGAGCUCACCCUCUCCUUGUCUUAGCAGUGCUUCUAGAAGUUAUAAAAAGGUGGGUUACAUUUGCUAGCGCCUGAGGAGCAUGAGACAAUUAGAAAGGUACAACAUUUCAGAAUGUAUAAUUUUCCUCUGACUCAGUUGGAAAUCAAAAUGUUUUGAAAGGUAAUGGAUAAAGAUAUUUCACAUAGGGAUUCCAGCCUCUGUUAAACCCAUGGGGGUGGAGGGAUCAGUGCUAAUCCAAGUGCCGUUACUGUCUGGUCCCAGCACCUGGCUCCUGUUGGCAAGUGUGCUCAUCACAUUGUCACUGGUGGUGUCGCCUUCCUGGGCGGCAAGCUACAUGGAAUGCAGAGUGGUGGUGCCACUAAGCCUCUGCUCAGUGGCAGUGGAAGUGGGGAGCCCAGCGCACGGGCACACGGAACACACAGGCCCAAGCACACCUUGCUCCGUGGCUCUCACUUUCUAGGGUGUUUCACGUUCUCAGUUUCUCAGAGUCACUUAUUGCUGUUUGGACACAUGCUAGUAUAAAAAGCAUUUCUCUGAAUAUAGAAGAAUUUGAAGACAGGCCUUCCCCAUGCCAGCUCACUCCCAGAGAGCAGAAGCGUCUGCACCAUGGAGCAUCCCAUCUGGAGGAGGGAAUCAAGCCGGUGACUUGAGGACUUUGGGCUCUUCUGAGGACCAACGAUGCUGCGUGGCCUUUGAAGGCUCUUAGGUCCCGGUGGCAAGGUCCUCAGGACUCGGGAUUGAGAAACAGAAAAGGAAUGUGCGUACAAAUAGGCAGUCACCCGAAAAGACUUUUCCUGGAUCCGUUUGCCUCAGCUAUUUGUGGGAGGCUUGGUGAAGGAAGGGUAAGGAACAAAGGGAGAGACACCCAAGGACGAAUGUGAGUCUGUUACCACAGACGCCUCGACAUGGUCUCCUGGGGUGGUUUCUAAGGUACCUUCCUGUUUAAUACUACAUAACCUCGGAAAGGACAUCAAGGGACUCAUAGGUCUUCAGUCUGGAGAGUUAAACAUGUACACUUGAACCGGUAGAAUCCCUUGUCAUUGGUAGUCCUCAUUUGUCAUUUGCGGUUUUUACUGUGCUGAUUAAAAAAAAAUAAACUCAGUAUUUUAAAUUGUGAACAUGUCUAUUUGAAGUAAUUUACAUCUCCUUUUUCCCACAGGUAAUGUGAAAUGGAAUUUACAGGAACCACUGGGAAGGGAAUACUUUUGUAUUUGAUAUGAACAUAGUAGACUAUUUGCCACCUCAGAGAAAAAGGAAUGCUAAUAAAACCUAACAUUUAUUGAGCA
Mus musculus (house mouse) is the source of this 4922-nucleotide RNA transcript. It is a transcript of the gene named RIKEN cDNA 4933427D14 gene, with no coding region annotated. Lineage: Eukaryota; Metazoa; Chordata; Mammalia; Rodentia; Muridae. The record is from RefSeq and is marked validated. The transcript has 20 exons.